This 497-nucleotide ribosomal RNA is filed under the name uncultured bacterium. RNAcentral describes it as "partial 16S ribosomal RNA". It matches the Rfam family "Bacterial small subunit ribosomal RNA", at positions 28 to 507 of the family's 1533-position model. The record is from RNAcentral.
GAUGAACGCUGGCGGCGUGCCUAAUACAUGCAAGUCGAGCGAACAGACGAGGAGCUUGCUCCUCUGACGUUAGCGGCGGACGGGUGAGUAACACGUGGAUAACCUACCUAUAAGACUGGGAUAACUUCGGGAAACCGGAGCUAAUACCGGAUAACAUGUUGAACCGCAUGGUUCAACAGUGAAAGACGGUCUUGCUGUCGCUUAUAGAUGGAUCCGCGCCGCAUUAGCUAGUUGGUACGGUAACGGCUUACCAAGGCAACGAUGCGUAGCCGACCUGAGAGGGUGAUCGGCCACACUGGAACUGAGACACGGUCCAGACUCCUACGGGAGGCAGGAGUAGGGAAUCUUCCGCAAUGGGCGAAAGCCUGACGGAGCAACGCCGCGUGAGUGAAGAAGGUCUUUGGAUCGUAAAACUCUGUUAUUAGGGAAGAACAAAUGUGUAAGUAACUAUGCACGUCUUGACGGUACCUAAUCAGAAAGCCACGGCUAACUACGUG